This 6146-nucleotide long non-coding RNA is filed under the name Sus scrofa (pig). RNAcentral describes it as "lncRNA (ENSSSCG00040031922.1)". The record is from RNAcentral. Lineage: Eukaryota; Metazoa; Chordata; Mammalia; Artiodactyla; Suidae.
CCUGUGCUAUACAGCAGGAUCUUAUCGCUUAUCCACUCCAAAUUCAAUAGUUUGCAUCUACUAACCACAAACUCCCAGUCUAUCCCACUCUCUUCCCUCUCCCCCUUGGCAACCACAAGUCUGUUCUCCAAGUCAGUUGGUUUCUUUUCUGUAGAUGGGUUCAUUUUGGUCUGUAUAUUAGAUUCUAGAUAUGUGAUAUCAUAUGGUAUUUGUCUUUCUGACUUACUUCACUAAGUAUGAGAGUCUCUAGUUCCAUCCAUGUUGCUGCAAAUGGCAUUAUUUUAUUCUUUUUAUGGCUGAGCAGUAUUCCAUUGUACAUAUGUACCACAUCUUUUUUUUUUUUUUAAGGGCCACACCUGUGGCAUAUGGAGGUUCCCAGGCUAGGGGUCAAAUUGGAGCUGUAGCCACUGGCCUACACCACAGCUCACAGCAACGCCAGAUCUUUAACCAACUGAGCAAGGCCAGGGAUCGAACCUGCAACCUCAUGGUUCCUAGUCAGAUUCGUUUCUGCUGUGCCAAGUGUCUGUUCAGGUCUUUUGCACAUUUUUCAAUUGGGUUGUUUGUUUUUUGCUGUCGAGUUGUAUGGGUUGUUUGUAUAUUUUGGAGAUUAAGCCCUAGUUGGUUGCAUCAUUUGUGACUAUUUUCUCCCAUUCUGUAGGUUGGUUUUUUUUUUUUUUAAUGGUUUCCUUUUUUGUGCAAAAGCUUAUAAGUUUGAUUAGGUUCCAUCAGUUUAUUUGUUUUUAUUUCUAUUGCUUCGUGAGACUGACCUAAGAAAACAUUUAUAUGGUUUAUGUCAGAGAAUGUUGUGCCUAUGUUUUUUCUAGGAGUUUUAUGGUGUCUUGUCUUACAUUUAAGUCUUUAAGCUGUUUUGAGUUUAUUUUUGUGCAUGGUGUGAGACUGUGUUCUAGUUUCAUUGAUUUACAUGCAACUGUCCAGUGUUCCCAGUACCACUUGCUGAAGAGACUGUCUUUCCCCAUUUUAUAUUUUUGCCUCCUUUGCCGAAGAUUAAUUGACCAUAGGUGUCUGGGUCAGACAUCUUUAAAGUGCUUGUGUUGUGACUGGCACCACACUGGCCACUGGGAAUUUAGAGAGGUGUCUAGGGUAGCAUCUGACAUUUUAAAGACCCAGGGCAAGAGUAAAAAUGAAAGCUUAUAUUCAUGUCUAAAUAUUUAAAUGUUACAAGUCAAAACAACAAACUGCUAAAUAAAACACUCCAUCCUAGUCACUGGAGAACUGAGUUUGAUUUUGAAUUUCUAACUUCUCUGAGUUUUGUGCUGGAACUCAGCAACACAGAGCAAGUGUCCCCCUCCUCUCCCUCCCCAUCCUGGCUACAUCCUGUACCUUGAGGGGCCUUGCAUGCAUAUGUGACUCCUCACAGGUAUUCAGAAUCCAUGUUGCACCUCACCUGUUGGCUACUCUUUGAGCCUAGGAGUGCCCACAAAGUAUAGUUGAUUUAUAGUGUUCGUUUAAUUUCUGCUCUACAGAAAAGUGAUCCAGUCUCUCUCUCUCCCCCUCUCCCUCCCUCUCUCUCUCUCUCUCUUCCUCCCCCACUGCCCCAUCUCAUGCACUCACACUUUUUUUUUUAAUGUGAUCUUCCAUCAUGUUGUAACCCAAGAGACUAGACAUAGUCCCCUGUGUUGUACCAUUCUAUUCCAUUGCUUAUUCAUUCUAAUUUUUUCUUUUUUUUGUCUUUCCUAGGGCCACACCCAUGGCAUAUGGAGGUUCCCAGGCUAGGGGUCGAAUCGGAGCUGUAGCCACUGGCCUACGCCAGAGCCACAGCAACGCCGGAUCCAAGCUGUGGAUGCAACCUACACCACAGCUCACGGCAAUGCUGAUCCUAGACCCACUGAGCAAGGCCAGGGAUUGAACCUGCAACCUCAUGGUUCCUAGUCGGAUUCGUUAACCACUGAGCCAUAAUGGGAAUUCCGUAGCUGUGUCUCUUUUAUCUUUGUCUUGUUUUCUAGAGGGCAGAGCCCACAGCUUUUCUUCCCCCCUUCCCUCCCCUGGGUUGAUGGAGGACUACGAGGUUGGGGUGGUGGGAGGCACGCUGACUGAGUCUGAGCCCCUUUCCUAUGUUCAGCUCAGGUUCACUCUGUGGUUCAGCUUCAGUUUCUUCAUCUGUAGAAUGGAUGAGUUGGAUUAUCAUGUCUUUAACUUAUAGGCUUUGCUUGGUUUACAGAAGGAGUAUGAUUGAUUUCCUGAGGUAAUUACUUUCUAGAAGUUUAAAUUGGGAAUGCUUCAUUGUAGAAGGUCUGGGUUCAGUCAGAACUGGGUUUGAAUCCAAGCUUUGCCACAUACGAGUUGUGCCUCCUUUAGAGUUACUUAAUCUCCCUCGGGGUUGUUGUGAGGAUUGAAUAAGAUAAUGUCUGUAACGUGUUGAGCAUCAUGCCAGGUUCAUAGUAGAUGUUCAGUAAACAUUAGCUUCUUUCCUGUCUAGGGUCGUUCCAGCUUUGAUACAGAAUCUGGGUUAGUAGACAUGUUGACUAAUUGAAAUGAUUGGAACCACAUGUUUAGGGAGUUCUGAUGCUAUGUUGGUUGGGGAUGGGGCGGGGGCAGUUGGGUGAGAAAGUCUGGCCCUUUCUUAAGUGCCUUCUAAGGAGCUGCCAACUCAGAUCUGUGUGUGAGCCACUCCCUCCACCCUAUUCUCUGAUGUGGACCCUUGACAUUUUCUUAGUUUUAUGAAAAGCACUGUGAAACAUAGAUUCACUGCCCUCUUUUGACCUGAUUCUGCCCCAAGCCCAGCCCGGGUGCCGCAGGACGCUGAGCUAAGUAGGAUCAGGCCACGAUGAGGAGGAGCUGGGUCAGGUAAGGCCUUGGGCUUCCCGACUUGUCUGGGCCUGUCUGACCAACUCCAGUAGCGCGCGUGAUGCAGCCAGGCGGACAGCACUUGUUGUCCAUGAUCAGUAUUCCUGGGAAGGCAUCCCUCUGCUCCUGGUGCUAGUGGCUUUAGGGUCCUGGGGAGACCUGUCCCCUCAAGUCUUCUGGAAUGGCUGCGUUCCAGCAGGAAUAACACGGAGAGAGUUGGGGAAGGGCAGGUGACAGCGUCUCUCAGCCCGGGCUGGUGGGGGUGACCAUCUUGGGAAUCCCCUGGAGCCUGUGAAAUCUGGCAGCUCUUGGGCUCUCCUGAAAUAUCCCUGACCUGGAGGGAAUGAGGGAGGGGUCUAGGGCCUAGCCAGGGCUGCUGAGUUGAGAAAUGCUCUAAGUAUGAGCUCAGGGUGGCUGAGGCCCUGAGGGAGGCCCUCAAGAAGAGGGUCUGCCCUUGAGGUCAUGCUGGCCAUCCCUCUGACCUCACACACAUCUGGGUGACUUGAGAAUUAGUUUGAUGAUCUUUCAGCUCCAGGGAUUACUGGGGAGCUGGGAGAAACACGCCUGCAAAGGCCUCCUCAGGGGGUUACUUUGCUCUCCCCCCAUCAUUAUUGGGCUUCUCUAAUUGGGGCCAGAACUGGGAAUUUUCCUCUUUAAAAAAAAAAAAAAUUUGAAAACAAGGGCACAAGUGGGUUGUGUCCAAAGUAAUGUGUUUAAGGAAAUUUCUGCUUCAUGCUGGCUAGGACAGGGAAUGUCUGGUCAAAGAGGUGCUGACGGCCAGGGUCUUUUGUAAGUAAACAGACUGCCUCCGAUGGCCGCCCUGAGCUCAUUUCCCUCAGCACUGUGCGAGGAGGAUGAUGUCACCAGAGCAGGGCCUCCUGGUGUUGGAGUUUGUUGGUGAGCAGGAUGGAGGCGCAGUGAUUGCCGGUGGCCUAGGUGCUGCUGCCCAGUUAUUGCAAACAGCUGCUCCCCACACAAGUGGUUCGGACACUCUCCUACACAUACUCAUCCAUGACGGGACUCUAGCCAAACCCAUGACCCUACAGCCAGGAGUAUGCCUGGGGAAACUUGUGAUUAACCGAGAAGUCCCCAGAUUCCAUGGGGCUUCUUCCUCAACCAGAUAGCUGGGCCUCUCUGGUCUAGAGCAGGGUGGGGGGUGCAUCAGGAUGGGUUGAUUUGUAAGGAGUGGCCCCAGGAAGUACAGGCCCACAUCCUGCCACCUGGAGAACGGGCAGUGGCAACGUGCACCACCGCCUGUCUCCUGGGGCCAGACAGCCAGGUCCAUUGGGGGAGUUUCCAUGAGCAGAAAGCCCAGGUCAGGGGAGGUUGGGAGGUGGGGUGGAGAAAAGCCACAAAGCUCCUCUCUGUCUCCUGCACAGGCUCUUCCUAAGCACAACAGUGACCAGGUAAAGCUUUUAUGGGGCUUGGAAGCCCUGCAGCACAGUUGCUGAGGAAUGGCUGCCAGAGAUUGGGUCACACUCUGUAGCCUUCUCCCUGUUCACCCUGUACCACCCUCACUUCACUUGGGGAGCAGUGAACCCCAAGUAGACAGGUGACCAGAUACUUCUUGAAGGUGGGCUUUUUAUUCCUUUGUGUCCCCUACGGUCCUAGCUGGUUUCAUAGGAGAUUGACUUGUCAAUCACACAGACCCACCCCACGGAGCACUCAAAGCCUACCUGAUCUACCUACACCAGGCUCAUUGAAAACCUCAGACUGACCAGCAAGCUCACAGAAGACACACUGCCUACCUGAUGUGCAGCCUGACUGAUUCAACCAGGUAAUUAAGUCUGCUCAUUCAACAAAUAGUAACUGAACACAUUGUGCCCACUGUUAUGCCAGGUGCGGGGGACUUAGGAAUGAACAAGACAGGCAAGAUCCUUGCUCUUAGGGGUAUUUAUAUUAUAAAGGAAGAAAAUGGGAUUUUGUGGGAGAGCAUAUCCAUCAGGCCCUGCCCUGGAUCUAAUGGUCAGGGAAGACCUUCCUGACACAUAAUCUGAAAAUUAGGGUAUGAGAAUGGGAAAAAAGACGUGCAAAGAGCCUGAGGAAGAGCUUUCCCGAUGGAGUGAAAAGCGAUACCGAGGCCUUGAGAUGGGGAAGAGCUUGGCGUUAAUUUGGAAUAACCAGAAGACCAAUAUGACCGGAACAUGUUGAGUGAGCAGAGGGUGGCACGUAGAUGAGGCUGGAGAGGUGGACCAGGCAGACCAGACAGGGGCCUGUAAGCCCUAGUAGGAUUUAGGUAGGUGUUGGGGGAAGACCCUGAGGCUUUAGGCAAGAGUGUGAGACACAUUCAAGAAGAAAUAGAUAACCUAAAUAUCCCUGUACCACUACUAAAGAGGUUAAAUUUAUAGUUUAAAAUUUUCCCACAAAGAAAACUUUGGCCCUAGAUGCCUUUACUGGUGAAUUCUCCCAAGCAUUAAAGAAAGAAAAGUUACCAAUUUAAUAUAAAAUUUUCCAGAAAAUUGAAAAGGAUGGAAUACUUCCUAACUCAUUCUGUGAGGAACGAGUCUCACAGACAAAAACGUUCCAAGACCAGGCGAAGACAUUCCAAGAAAGAAAACUUGGUCCAAAACAGACCAAUAUGCAUCAUGAACAUGAUCCAAAAAUUUUAAUUUUAAUCAAAAUUAUAGCUAAGUAAAUCCAACAGUACAUAAGAGGAUAUUUCAUCAUGACCAAGUGGGGUUUACCCAGAAAUGUCAGGUUGGAGGAAUGUUUGAAAAUCAGCUCAUGUGAUUCUCCAUAUUAACAAACCAAAAAGAGGGGGGAGCCCCACUAUAUGAUCACCUCAGUGACAUCAUAGUUAAUGAUCGAAGGCUGAAUACUUUCCCUCUGCAAUUGAGAAGCAAGAAUGUCUGUUCUUACUACGUCUAUUUAACAUUGUGCCAAAGGUCCUAACCAGUACAAUAUAACAAGAAAAAUAAAAGGCAUAUAGAUUGAAAAGGAAAAAGUAAAAAUGUCUUUAUUUGCAAAUGACAUGAUCAUAUACAUAUACAUAGAAAAUCCUAAUCUACAAGAAAACCUACUAAAAUGAAAAAAUGAGUUUAACAAAGUUGCAAGAUAGAUCAAUAUAUGAAAAUUAAUUGUAUGUGAAUGCUUGAAAUCGGCAUUGUAAAAACAAUACCAGGAAUUCCCAUUGUGGCUCAGCGAUAAUGAACCCGACUGGUAUCCAUGAGGACGUGGGUUUGAUCCCUUGCCUCACUCAGUGGGUUAAGGACCCGGCGUUGCUGUGAGCUGUGGUGUAGGUUGCAGACACAGCUCGGAUCCUGAAUUGCCGUGGCUCUGGUAUAGGUCAGUGGCUACAGCUCCGAUUCAACCCUUAGCCUUGGAACUUCCAUAUGCCUCAG